RNAcentral lists this ribosomal RNA (406 nucleotides) under uncultured bacterium. RNAcentral's name for it is "partial 16S ribosomal RNA". It matches the Rfam family "Bacterial small subunit ribosomal RNA", at positions 28 to 526 of the family's 1533-position model. The record is from RNAcentral.
GACGAACGCUGGCGGCGCGCUUAACACAUGCAAGUCGAGCGAAGCGGCGGACGGGUGAGUAACACGUGAUUAACCUGCCUUAGACAUUGGGAUAGCCUCGGGAAACCGGGAUUAAUACCUAAUGGUCUAAGAUGGACUCGCGUCCCAUUAGCUAGUUGGGAGGUAACGGCCCACCAAGGCGCCGAUGGGUAGCCGGCAGGAGAGGGUGAACGGCCACAGUGGAACUGAGAAACGGGCCAAACUCUACGGGAGGCAGAAGUGGGGAAUAUUGCACAAUGGAGGGAACUCUGAUGCAGCGACGCAGCGUGAACGAAGAAGGCUUUCGAGUCGUAAAGUUCUUUUAUAUGGGAAGCGGUACCAUAAGAAAAAGCCCCGGCUAACUACGUGCCAGCAGCCGCGGUAAUUC